Molecule: transfer RNA, 63 nt
Filed under: Gigantidas platifrons
Lineage: Eukaryota; Metazoa; Mollusca; Bivalvia; Mytilida; Modiolidae
Description: tRNA-His
Source: RNAcentral
UUUAAGUUAGUUUAUUAAAACGUUAGCUUGUGGUGCUAAAGAUGCCUUUCUUGGCACUUUGAA